RNAcentral lists this ribosomal RNA (229 nucleotides) under uncultured bacterium. RNAcentral describes it as "partial 16S ribosomal RNA". It matches the Rfam family "Bacterial small subunit ribosomal RNA", at positions 568 to 796 of the family's 1533-position model. The record is from RNAcentral.
UGCGCAGGCGGGCUUGUAAGUCAGUGGUGAAAUACUGCCGCUUAACGGUAGAACUGCCAUUGAUACUGCGAGUCUUGAAUAUGGUUGAGGUAGGCGGAAUGUGUUGUGUAGCGGUGAAAUGCAUAGAUAUGACACAGAACGCCAAUUGCCAAGGCAGCUUACUAAGCCAUUAUUGACGCUGAGGCACGAAAGCGUGGGGAGCGAACAGGAUUAGAUACCCUGGUAGUCC